GCGAGGCGCGGGGAGCGCAAUGUGCUGGCGGGGGCCGGGGCUGGGGCCCGGGGAGGCCACCAGGGCGGGGCCGGGCGCGGGGCGGCGCUUCUUUGCGUCCGUGGGGCGCUGUGCGUCUCCGAGAACGAAGCGGUCUCGCAGGCGUGCGGCCUCUGGGUUCGUGUGCUCCGAGCCCGAGGACCGUUUGCGGCCGCCGUCCCGUCCUGGAGCAGGAGUGAGGAGGCGCCUCUCACUUUCCUGCGAACCCGCAGAACAGGCGGCCGGCGCUGGGGAGACCGGCGGAGCUUCCCGCUCCUUCACCAAGUGGCCCUGACGCGCAGUUGAAAGCGUGGAUUUUGCCGGGCGCGGCGGCUACGUCCGGAGUCCCAGCGCCUUGGGAGGCGAGGCGGGAGGAUCCCCACGGCUCGGGAGCUCGAGACCAGCCUGGGCAAAUAUUUUGAAAGUCAUGAAGCUCUCAGUGGGCAGUGGAGACCCUGCCAUCUCCUGAACACAUCCAGCGGCCACAUGACUAAGCAAAGGCGGCGGAGAGUGGAUGGACGGUGAUGGACGCGGCCACGGAGCCCGAGUGCCCACAAUGCGCAUUCCUGUCUUUUCUCUCCCCGCUCACCUCAGAGCGGGACGGAAGGUGGGACCGGGAGAGCUGUUCUCGGGCAGGUGGAUGCUGUGGAUUAGCGGAGAGGGAAGGCACUUUCGUUCUCGGCACCGUGAGGCUGUCCUGGUCAAUCCUGUUUUCAUGCUUGAGGGUCUCUGGUGCAGCAGCUCCACCAGCCUUGACACCAGGACUUCUGUGGAAUCCAGACGGAGUCACGCUCUGUCACCCAGGCUGGAGUGCAGUGGUGUGAUCUCGGCUCACUGCAACCUCUGCCCGCCGAGUUCAAGCGAUUCUUCUGCCUCAGCCUCCUGACAAGUGGGGAUUACAGGCGCCGGCCACCACGCCCAGGCUAAUUUUUUGUUUAGUAGAGGUCGAGUUUCACCAUGUUGGCCGGGCUGGUCUUGAACUCCUGACCUCAGGUGACCACCCCCUCCCAGCCUCCCAAAGUGCUGGGAUUACAGGUGUGAGCCACCAUGCCCAGCUUACGCCUGGUUAACUCUUAAUGACCAAAAUCAAAGUACAGAUGAAAAAGACGAUAAUCUGGGAAGUCACAUUGCUGAGGUCUGAGAGUCAUGACUCCACUGCCACCGGGGAGGCGCAGCAGAGGGCAGCACCUGGAUGAUGAGACCCAGUGCAGGAGGCGCAGCACAGAGCGGUCACCAUCCUUCCCCGGUUCACCGGGAAGCUUGCUCCCCCUCCUUCUGUAUUCCUGGCAAAUGACAACGGGCAAAGCGAAGCGUGGGCCAAGGACGGAGGAGGCGGUGCCGCGCGUCUGCCGUGGUCACAAGCUACAGAAGUUUGCUUCACUCCUGCCAGAAACCGGCAGGACAGUAGAAUUCUCUUAAAGCACGUGUUGAAGAGAGUGUGUAAUAACAUGAGAUUAAAAAGUUACUGCCAAACGACAAAAUAUAAAUAUUAAAAUGAAGCUUCCAAUGAAUAUGAAAAUCUUUACCAAAAAAUAGUUUAUUGCACAAAAUUUAAGGAAUUCCCAAGCACACUUACAUUUGUAAAAAAUCAACGUGCUUUUUAAAGUUACACUUUGUCAGACACGGUGACCCCUUUCCCAAGAACAGCCACAACUUGAGGACUUUCUUUUGUGAGGAAAUUUUUAAUAAAAACAAGUAACUCAAAAGCACUGAAUUUUCCAGACCCUCUAACACAUUUCCCUCCGGAUCCUGUGAGAGCCUGAGAUCACUUAUGACAAGAUUCACCAGGACCUUCCGGUCAGUGAGCUCAGAACACCUCACACCACAGAGUCACUCAAGUCCCUCCUCACAUCAGAGGGCUCCUCGAAGGGAGGCCCCAGGACGGUUCUCUCAGAUUUGCUCGUCCCUCCCCUCCUAGAAUCUUCACGUACAACAUUCUGUUUUUGUUUGUAAAGACCUCAGGGAACUAGGACUCUAUGUUGUGGGAACCCUGGACCAAGGAGAGUUGAGGGCCAGCUCCUUAGGGCAGUGCAGCACAGCACGGACUGUGUUCUGGUGGGCAGGGCCCCUGCUGGACCCACCCAAGGAGAGUCCAUUUCACAUCCUAUCAAAAACACUGCCUGAUCCAUAUUGCAGAGUGGGAACGGGUGUGAGUCCGUAAGACCCGUAGCAUCAGUCUCACAUAUACCACGGAAAAACACAUGAAAACCAAGUUACAUUGUUUUUGGAACGUCAGAAAAACAAGUAGUGACAUCGUGAAGCGCCCUAGCCUGUUGUGACACACAGCGUGGGGAUGAACACGCCACAUAAUGCGCUGGUGACCCUGUUUUCUAAGCAGUACUCCCAACUUCACCGCCUUUUCAGGGAGGAUAUUCCAUCAUUCCCACUUCUGCCCACAAGAACAAAAUAAUUCAAACUUUACGCACUGAAGUAACUCUGGGAGGUAGAAGUGCCGGGACAGUCCCUUGGAGAUAAGAAAAAAACCUCAACAAUAAAAAAAAGCAAUUUAAAAAUCCAACUUCAGCCGGGGGCGGUGGUUCACGCCUAUAAUUCCAGCACUUUGGGAGGCUGCGGAUCAGGAUCACCUGAGGUCAAGAGUUCAAGACCAGCCUGGCCAACAUGGUGGAACUCCACCCCUCUAAAAAUACAAAAAUUAGUCUGGUGUGGUGGUGGGCACCUGUAAUCCCAGCUACUGGGGAGAAUGAGGCAGGAGAAUCGCUUGAACCCGGACGGCAGAGCUUGCAGUGAGCAGAGAUCACGCCACUGCACUCCAGCCUGGGCGACAGAGCGAGACUCUGUCUCAAAAAAAAAAAAAAAAAAAAUUCCAACUUCCUCUUUUAGGCGUCUUCUUAAGGAAGGAAGCCUGAAGGCAGUGUCCGCGUGAACACGAGAGGCCUCAGAUCCAGCAGCACAAGCCGUGCAUGAAAACACCAAAAGACUCACUGCAGGGAGCAAAGGCAGCCAGGCCCUGCCAAACCAGAGGGGGCCCCGGCACCGGCGGCCACAGAGCGCUGGGGGAGGCAUCGCACCCGAGGGUGCACACGCAGGAAAACCGGGGUGAGAACAUAGAGCUACUUUUCCUUCGGUAUUUUCAGAAUUAGUCUGUCCUAAGAGAAAAAAAAAUACAUGGUGAACAUCACUCGAGGACUUUCCAUAAGCAAGGAGAAGUCGCUCCCCACUGAAUGUGUGAUUUCUCAAUUUUAGAUUUUUUUUAAAUCAUUUAUUUAUUUAUUUUUGAGACGGAGUCUC
Molecule: long non-coding RNA, 3267 nt
Organism: Gorilla gorilla gorilla (western lowland gorilla)
Lineage: Eukaryota; Metazoa; Chordata; Mammalia; Primates; Hominidae
Exons: 3
Source: RefSeq, a predicted model, not a curated record